AUAUGAAUGUCUACAAAAAGGUGUUUUGAUUGAGCUGCUGCUAGGGUUCUGUUUGGUUGCUCUGCUGAUGAAUUCUUUUGAUUUUUCCAAGCUUCAUCCUUUUCUGAUUUGGCUGUCAAGAUGGUAAAAGCUGGUUACCAAUAUAUCACAGUUCUAGGAGUUGAUUUUAUGUCAGAAAAUGUGCGGGCAAUCCUUGAUCAGGCUGGCUUCUUAGAGGUAUGGUUUGGUUUUGUGAGUUUAAAUCCUUAAAAGCCAUUGAAGCCUCAAUGGAACUUAUGUCAGCCUCAAUGGAACUUAUGUCUAUCAGACCCUUUCAAAUCGAAGGAAAAGCUCCAUUCAUCCUCCAUGUAGAAAAGGAAAAGAAUAGCGUACUGCUUUUAAUCCUCAUAGAAGAACCAUCCUAAAAUUCCUAAUUUACAACAGAAAAUAAUUGUGAAAGGCCAGUUAGAACUAUUGGGUGCAUUUGAUAUUGAAGAUAAAGCCUCUGAAAUUUGAUGUGAGCCCAAAUCAAGUGACAAGAAACAAUAUCAGAAGUGAAAAGAAAGAAGAUAUUUGAUGCGGUUUCAGUACUUCUGGGUGUUAUGAGUGCUCAUUGUUGUUGUUGAUUUUUGGAUUGGAUCUGUGUUUUUCUUGCUGAUUGAUCUUAAUUGUUGUUGGUGUUGUGAUGAUCUGGGUGUUGUGAGU
Camellia sinensis is the source of this 684-nucleotide non-coding RNA. Lineage: Eukaryota; Viridiplantae; Streptophyta; Magnoliopsida; Ericales; Theaceae. The record is from RefSeq and is a predicted model, not a curated record.